CAUAUAUGUAAUAUAAGAUGAAGUGGUGUACAGGUGAGUAAAGGAUAUUAUAACCGCCUUAAAGUAAGGAGCAAGAUCCCUUAUAUUAGGAAAGAAAUAAUUAAUAUUUCGCUUUAAGAAGUUAGUAUCUCGGAUAGUAGUAGUUAAGGUAAUUGCUUAACUAGCUUAAUAUCCGUAGUCGAGACUGAGAGGUUGAUCGACCACAAUGGGACUGAAUAAAUCCCAAUAUGUUUAGUACAGCAGUGAGGAAUAUUGGUCAAUAGCCUAACGGCUGAACCAGCAACUUGGAAGAAUGUAUAGCGAAAGCUGAUUGUAUUAACAGGCAAUGGUUAAUAUAAUAUCGACUUAGUCGACUAAAGUUCUAGGUAGAGUAAUGAUAAUGACAUUUUUUACCUAUGUGUCUUGACCAAGUCACGUGCCAGCAGUCGCGGUAAUACGUGGAAGACUAGUGUUAUUCAUCUUUAAUAGGUUUAAAGGGUACCUAGACGGUAUAUUUAGCCCACAAAGGGUACUAAAUAAACUAGAGUUUAAUGCGAGGGGGUAUCUAGUACUAAUGGAGUAGAGAUGAAAUUUAUUAAUACCAUGGAGGCGACUGGUAACGGCGAAAGCAACCCUUUAUGCAAAAACUGACGUUGAAGUACGAAGGCUUGUGUAACCAAAAGGAUUAGAUACCCUAGUAGUGCUAGCAGACAACGCUGAAUGCCAUAGAUUAGAUUAUAUUUAUUCUAUAAAUGAAAGUGUAAGCAUUCCACCUCAAGAGUAAUUUGGCAACAUUGGAAUUGAAAUCAUUAGACCGUUUCUGAAACCAGUAGUGAAGUAUGUUGUAUAACUAGACGUUCCGCAAAAAACCUUACCACAAUUUGAAUAUUUUUAUAAUUAUACAAGAGUUGCACGGCUGUCUUUAGUUAAUGUCGUGAGAUUUUGGUUAGUUCCAUUAAAUUAACGUAAACCCUUACUUUAUUUUUAGAUAAAGUAGUUCACCGCUAUAUUGGAUAUGAUAAAAGGGAAUAAGGCAAGUCAUCAUGGCCUGAAUAUUGUGGGCUACAGACGUGCCACAUAAGCUUAUACAAAGGGAUGCGAAAUGCGAC
This 1088-nucleotide ribosomal RNA is filed under the name Umbilicaria esculenta. RNAcentral's name for it is "SSU rRNA". It matches the Rfam family "Bacterial small subunit ribosomal RNA", at positions 72 to 1261 of the family's 1533-position model. The record is from RNAcentral. Lineage: Eukaryota; Fungi; Ascomycota; Lecanoromycetes; Umbilicariales; Umbilicariaceae.